GUAGUCAUAUGCUUGUCUCAAAGAUUAAGCCAUGCAUGUCUAAGUAUAAGCAAUUAUACAGCGAAACUGCGAAUGGCUCAUUAUAUAAGUUAUCGUUUAUUUGAUAGUACCUUACUACUUGGAUAACCGUGGUAAUUCUAGAGCUAAUACAUGCUAAAAAUCCCGACUUCGGAAGGGAUGUAUUUAUUAGAUUAAAAACCAAUGCCCUUCGGGGCUCCUUGGUGAUUCAUGAUAACUCCUCGAAUCGCAUGGCCUUGUGCCGGCGAUGGUUCAUUCAAAUUUCUUCCCUAUCAACUUUCGAUGUUUGGGUAUUGGCCUAACAUGGUUGCAACGGGUAACGGGGAAUGGGGCGGGGGCGGCGGGCCGGGCGCGGGGCGCGGCGGGCG
Molecule: ribosomal RNA, 386 nt
Filed under: uncultured fungus
Lineage: Eukaryota; Fungi
Description: bacterial SSU rRNA
Rfam family: Eukaryotic small subunit ribosomal RNA
Source: RNAcentral